Long non-coding RNA from Tigriopus californicus, 524 nucleotides. RefSeq lists it as uncharacterized. The transcript is spliced from 3 exons. The record is from RefSeq and is a predicted model, not a curated record. NCBI's taxonomy places the organism in Eukaryota, Metazoa, Arthropoda, Copepoda, Harpacticoida, Harpacticidae.
GAGAUCGAAGAGAUACAAUGCCUGGUUCACCCUCAUGGCUUGAAUUGGUGAUUGCUUGCGAUAAAGCGGGAUUGGACUUGGCAAGUCGGCAUAGUGUUUGGCCACAAAUGACCAUAUCGAAGCUUUACGACAUUUGGGGAGCUACAUGCAUUGAAUUGGAAGUGGACAUGCUGACCGGGGAGAAAACCGUCCGUCGAGCAGACGUGUAUGGAGGACACAGGGGCUUCAAUUAGCCCCAAUGUGGAUAUUGGUCAAGUGGAAGGCGCCUUCGUUAUUGGACUUGGACUUUGGCUCUCGGAAAGAAUUGCGUUUCAAUCCAACAAGUGGCAGGCUUUUGACCCGAGAUUCUUGGGAGUACAAGCCACCUGCUAGCCAAGACAUUCCUGAGGUAUUCAACACCUACCUCUACAACAGUAAUGACAUCCUUUCGGGGUUUUGGGUUCCAAAGCUACUGGAGAACCUCCUCUUCUAAUGGCGAUGUCCGCAUUUUUGGGCUCUCAGGGAUGCCAUAACCGAUUGUCGCG